This is a long non-coding RNA of Motacilla alba alba, 4024 nucleotides long. RefSeq lists it as uncharacterized. Lineage: Eukaryota; Metazoa; Chordata; Aves; Passeriformes; Motacillidae. The transcript is spliced from 2 exons. The record is from RefSeq and is a predicted model, not a curated record.
GAGUGGUGCUUGCUGUAGGCUGUGGUCACAGGAGGCUCUGCUGGAUAGAGCCACAUCUGAUUCCCACGGGGGGGACCCUGUUUCUGCUCACCAGUGCUGGAGGAGUAAACUCUCCUGGCACAAGGAAAGGCUGCAGAAGGGAUUGCUUGCUGUAACUGAUUAAGUUUUACUAUAAGGGAAGUGCAGCACUUCCUUCCCAUCUGACUGCUGGGAUCAAAUCCAAGGAAAAUUGAAGAUGGAUAUAUUUUUAUGAACAAGCAGAUAGGAAGCUCACUGCAGUGUGUUUCUUGUGCUGCUAUUUAGGAUGGUCAUUUUUGCUGUUGCCCCCAGAGUUUGUGUAGAUGGGAGAGACUACCUUUUGCUCAAGAGAAAUGUCAUAACCUUUGUUCCAUGUCGUAAGAUCAGCUGUCUUUAAUCAGCACUCCUCUCCUCGGUGCCAUUUCAGAGCUUUGCUGAAAUUUCAUUUGCCUCCUUAACUAUCCUGAGUUAUAUUGUAACUCCACAAUCUUUUGGUUUUUUUUCAGUAGUGAAUCUGGUUUAAAUCCUUUGCUAACACACAACAGUUCAUGGCCCCAUCAGCUGUGCUGGCACAACUUUAGCCAUCCCGAAAGCCAGACUGACCCUUUAAAAUUGAAAAGCCCUUUGUUUGGGAAAGAGAUAUUUUAAACUAUUUUUUCCAUUAAGAAAAGUGUACAUGGAUUCAAUAUCCUCAGUAUUUCUCCAUGGCAUUCAGAGAUCUGGCUCACAGUUUAAAUAUUUUCCAAUCACAUCCCAAGAUUCAGUUUUCUUUUGCCCUGGAGCCUGGCAAAAAUUUGAACACUGUGAUUUCUUAAUUUCAUUUAUUAUAGCUAUUCAUAUAUUUCCUAAUAAUAAUAAGUCUCUCAGGUAUUAUUUUCACAGCAGCUUAGAAAUAUUAAUAGCCUCUUGAGAAGAGGCUAAAGCAAACCUUCCCUUAUUUAUAUGUCAGGGGUGUCAUUGUCCAGUUCUAAGCCAGCCACCUUCCUGCCUUCAUUCAAUCAGCACAGAGAUUUCUUCAAAGCAUGAAAUUUCUCAUUGCAUGGUGGCUUUUUUUUUUGGAGGAGCUCUCCAAUGGUGCCUGCUUCUUUCCACUGGCUGAUAAAGAUGCUGAGGAUAAUAAUGCUUCAGACAUACACAUGCAAAAUACACAUCUAGCAUGAAAAUAUCUAAAAGCAGGUAAAAUGAAGUUUACUUUGAGUAACUAGCUGAAUGACACACAAAUCAUGUUUGGCAGAGGCAAGGACUGAAUCCAUAUCUGCCAAGACAUAAAUCAAGUAAUUCAUGGGAUGUUUGCUUUUCUGGGUCUGUAACUGUCCCGGGGAAGAGCAGCAUGAAGAGAUUUUGCAACUAAUGUGACUGUAGCUGAGACAGGCUUUCAGUAAGUUGAUUUUAACAACCUGUUUGAUGGGAAAACCUCAAGAAAUGAAGAAUAUGCUAUUUCCCUGGAAACCAGGAGCUCUAUGCCUCUUCAUGUGCUAACAGCUUUCUCCCUUUGAACAGGUCUGGAUCCUGAGUGUACUUCUUGUUUUGCCUGAUUAAAAAGCCGUCUGAUAUUUAGCAUUUUCUCUCUGUGAAAACAUUUAUAUUAGACAGUUUUCUUUCUCCACUGCACUAAACAUGUGAUCUGCCUGAGUCUCUUGCUGAGGCAGCUUCUUUGCUUCUCUAUCUUUCCAAUUUUCAGGCAACUUGAAUGAUUCUACAAAUCGUCUAAAAAUUGUCAAUAUCAGAACUUCAACCACUGUGUUCAAACUGGCCUUUCUUUUGUCUGAAACUGUGGCAAAAUGAUCAUUCUGCUCUAUUCACUUCUGUUAUACAAAUACUACUUUUGUUAUUUCUGUCAUGGCUUGCUGCUGGGUGCCCAUGUGGAGUUGUUCAACCAGCCUGACUUUCAGAGUCAGUGACUUUCCUGAGUCCCUCCUUUCCAGAGCACAACCCACUCCCUUUACUUCUUCCUUCCCUUUUUUUGCAUUAUGGUCUGCAAAGCACCCUCAUAGAUUUCAUACUUUUAAAUGUCUGGUGAAAAACAUCUUUUCACUGAAUGGGAAUGUCUGAAUGGGAACUGCUCAUUUGAAUUGAUUUGCUUAUCAACAUUCAACAACAUUGCUAAUCUUUUUAAUCUCAUUUUAUCAGCAAUAAUAUUGUGUUUACUGUUAGGACAUUUUGAAAACAUAAGUUUGUCUUGAGACCUGUACCAAUCACUGAGCUGUCCUGAUCCAGUCCUCUGAACAGACUCUUUUAAAUGGAAAUACCAAGGUGACUGCUACUUUUUGAGGUGACUUUUACUGCAACCCUUCUGCUAACUGCUUUUGAUAUUAUAUCAUGUUUAUUUAGCAAUCACAAUCAUAUGAAGUGGUACUUGUCAAGUCUUACUAUCCAAAUAUAUCUACUCAAUUGCCUUUGCAAAAGAAAUUGUGGUUCACUUAAUGAUUUUUUCCUAAAAAUAUGUUGACUUCCAUUACUUAUACUCUUCUGAUUUAAUUUUCCAGUAGCCGAACAACAUAAACAGCGAGUUUGUGUUUUCUGCAACCUCUAUUUGCUCCAUUCUAUGCUUGACCUCUUGCAUGUUGGUACAGUUGGUUCCGAAUUACCUCUACAUUCAGAAUCUUAUUUAAAAAUAACAUCAGCUUAACACAUUAGAAUGUAUUUCUAAUUCAGUUUGGAGUAGGAAGCUGGGAAUCUGUCCAGCUGGUUCUUUUAUGAAUCUUAGGUGGAAAUUUGUGUAGGUUCCUGUUUUUUAUAAGAAGGAUUUUGAAAGUGUUUGCUAAGACACGUUGCUUAACAUUGUCUGUAGUUUCCAUUGAAUUUGGAAGUUGGGUUGCAAUCUGUAGUAAAAAAAUAUUCAGCCUUAAAGCAAAGAAUGGCACAAGGGCUCUGCCUCCCACCAAGGGCAGCCAAGGGAGGAGGGAAAGGUGCUCAUCUGUUUUCUGGCCGUGUGGCAAGGACUUGAAGGGCCACUAAUGGCCCAGUUAGGUCAGAAUGAGGCAUUUCCUUCCAAACCUGGUGCAAGAAGCACGUUAAAGCUACUGUGCACUCAGGAGGGAGCUGCUGCAUGUUUGGACUACAGAGAGCCAGAGAGAAAAUAGGGGAGAUCUUUGCCCAGCACAAUUGUCUUUGCGGUUUGAGGUACCCCAACAGCAGAAGCAUUUAGUAAAUCUCUGGGUGCUGCAUAGAGAGAUUUUGGAAAUUUCUUCUGGAAAACAUCAGAGAUUAAAACUGGCCAUAAUGAACUUCUCUAAUUUUGGUCCCCUUGAUUUCUUUUCUUAACUGUGGUGUCUGUCAGGUGCCAUUGAUUUGAAAGUUAAUUGCUGCUUAUAACCAAUUACUUUACUUCUCAGAGACAGCUCUCCAGAAAAAAAGAAAAGCAAAACCCAAACCCCAAAACAAAAUGAAAACCACAAAACUUCCUGGUAAACUCACAAUAUUAAAAUUAAAUUUUUUUUUCUCUUUUGGUAAUUUGGGUUUGUUUUGCACUUCUUUAGGGAAUGGUCCUUCAGUCAUGGACACUGAAAUAAUUUGACAACUAUUUCCUUCCUGCUGAAAGAAUACAAAAAGCCCUGGGAGCCUGAGCUUCACUGAUACUUCACUGAUGUGAUUGAGACCGACUCCAGUGUCAAGUGAGGUUGGAAUUUGGACACACUGUUGUAAUAGUCUGUGUUUCCUUGUCUUGUCCUAGAACAUGCAGUAUGUUACUUUGAAUAUUGUCUGUGGCUCAUCUGGCAAUAAUCACAGAGUCUAGUUACAGAAAUACGGAGAAAUAAAAAAAAAAACCAAAAGGGCAUGGAUUUGUCAGUGAAGCAUGAUCAACACUGUCUAGAGAAGAACAGCUAACAGUUCAUCAGAUUUGGUGCCAGAAGGUCAUUGAUCUACUGUGCCUGGAAGAGACACAUACAGACUGCUGUGCCUGUUUAAGAAAUAAUUUGAUAAGGAAAAUAAAUGCAAUGCCUCUUAUGCUCCCCUCUCCAUAUUCUAUAGAUGGUGAAUAAAUUUUUUUUCAGCUCUCUCUGAA